UACGGAGGGAGCAAGCGUUACUCGGAAUUAUUGGGCGUAAGGGCGCGUAGGCGAUCUGACAAGUCUGGUGUGAAAGCCCACAUGUUAACUGUGGAAGUGCAUUCGAAACUGCAGGGCUAGAGUCCUGGAGAGGAAGGUGGAAUGCUUGGUGUAGAGGUGAAAUUCGUAGAUAUCAAGCGGAACACCGGUGGCGAAGGCGGCCUUCUGGACAGUGACUGACGCUGAGACGCGAAAGCGUGGGGAGCAAACAGG
RNAcentral lists this ribosomal RNA (252 nucleotides) under uncultured bacterium. RNAcentral's name for it is "partial 16S ribosomal RNA". It matches the Rfam family "Bacterial small subunit ribosomal RNA", at positions 524 to 776 of the family's 1533-position model. The record is from RNAcentral.